AUGUAUCUGUAUUUUUUGCAGGUAUAUUGGUUGCCUUAUGUGGAAGAUCGUGACUUUGAUCUUAAUGAGAUGUGCACGCGUGAUAGCCAUCUUUGGCGGGCGAGGUGCCCAAUGAUAUGCUUCUUCGCAGUCAAGUGGCACUUUGUAGACCGUGUGGCAAGACAAUUUGGAAGAAGACAAGGUAUUCCAAUUGAGAAGAGCAAGGAGGAAAUGCUAUCUCUGCAUCGGUUCGAUCGAAGGAACAAUCAGGAUAUAUCGGAUUGGGCAAACAAACACCGUGCGUGGAUAGAAAUUUGGAAUUAA
This 303-nucleotide ribosomal RNA is filed under the name Triticum aestivum (bread wheat). RNAcentral describes it as "partial small subunit ribosomal RNA". The record is from RNAcentral. Lineage: Eukaryota; Viridiplantae; Streptophyta; Magnoliopsida; Poales; Poaceae.